Molecule: ribosomal RNA, 234 nt
Filed under: uncultured Corynebacterium sp.
Lineage: Bacteria; Bacillati; Actinomycetota; Actinomycetes; Mycobacteriales; Corynebacteriaceae
Description: partial 16S ribosomal RNA
Rfam family: Bacterial small subunit ribosomal RNA
Source: RNAcentral
UGGCGAACGGGUGAGUAACACGUGGGUGAUCUGCCCUGCACUCUGGGAUAAGCCUGGGAAACUGGGUCUAAUACCGGAUAGGACCACACUUUAGUGUGUGUGGUGGAAAGUUUUUCGGUGUAGGAUGAGCCCGCGGCCUAUCAGCUUGUUGGUGGGGUAAUGGCCUACCAAGGCGGCGACGGGUAGCCGGACUGAGAGGUUGGUCGGCCACAUUGGGACUGAGAUACGGCCCAG